RNAcentral lists this ribosomal RNA (261 nucleotides) under uncultured archaeon. Its description in RNAcentral is "partial 16S ribosomal RNA". It matches the Rfam family "Archaeal small subunit ribosomal RNA", at positions 748 to 1008 of the family's 1478-position model. The record is from RNAcentral.
AGGGUGUAGACGCUGCAGACUUGGUGUUGGAGGCCCUUUGGGGGCAUUCAGUGCCGGAGAGAAGUUGUUAAGUCUGCUACUUGGGGAGUACGUCCGCAAGGAUGAAACUUAAAGGAAUUGGCGGGGGAGCACCGCAACGGGAGGAGCGUGCGGUUUAAUUGGAUUCAACACCGUAAAACUCACCAGGGAAGACUGUUACAUGAAGGCCGAGAUGAAGACUCUGCUAGAUUUUCAGAGAGGUGGUGCAUGGCGUCAGUGACU